This 1041-nucleotide ribosomal RNA is filed under the name Triticum aestivum (bread wheat). Its description in RNAcentral is "partial small subunit ribosomal RNA". Lineage: Eukaryota; Viridiplantae; Streptophyta; Magnoliopsida; Poales; Poaceae. The record is from RNAcentral.
CAAGUAAGCGAGUUCUAAACUAAUCUAUACAACUAAACAAACAAACGUCCCCUACCUAGGGUUCCCCUCUACACGUCAGGAGGUCUAGACGACCUAUUAAGGGUAACAGACACAACUCGUCGUAGGUCAGUAUACAUCCACAUCCUCCUCGGAAACGCGCCCCCACGGCCAGGGUUGCUACACCAGUUUAUCCCGACCUACGAUGUAAACUGUGACUCCCACGCUCUGACCCGUCCGACUCCUCCUAUGGUCUCUCGCCACUGGAACUCAACCUCCCUCGUUACUAGCAGCCAUAACUGUUGUACCAGUAAAGUAAACUAACCAACCGGACGACUGAACGAGCGAAGAGGAGGUCAGUACUCGAUCCGUGGAGCGCGGUUCCGUCCUCAAGAGAACGGGAGCAAGCUAGGAGAGGAUCGAUAGAUAAUACACAAACAAGGACUAAGCAAGCAAUAGGGUGUUGACCUAGCCCCCCGCCACUGUACAAGUAGCACGUGAACAAUAGUGGAACCGACGGACUGCCUCUACCUUCUCCUAAACAAUUCAAACAACAAGAAGUAACGACUAACCACCGACCACCACGACAAGACGACCCUUGUUGUGUCCUAGAUGCUAACAACGAGGAGAUCCAACCAAGUGGCGACGACCAGACACGUCUAGUAGUGACGUUCAUCAUGGGAUGACAGGUCGAGGUAAGCACGUAGAAUAGACAUCUACGAAUAAAUAAAUUAGUAGAGGACCUAAUAAACUGGUUGUCUAUCAAGUCAAAGGUGAAACUGCUUACUUACAUCUCAUAGAGCCUUUCUGCCAUUUCUGUAUAUACAUUGUGUAAAAUUCAACUGUUUAUCAGACCAAGAAGAUCGACAUUAAAAAACAACAAAAAGGUUCUAAUAACGACGUGUGAGUAGACAAAUUGAGAGUCAACCUACCGGAUUAAUACUAAAACAAAGAAACGUAAUACAUUAAGUCCAAGUACAUAUAACCUCCACCUCCUCGUGUUAUACUUUGUACCUGUAGGGACAGUGUAGGAAGGGUUCGCCC